UGAAUACGAGACGCUAAGGCGUCGAAGUAGUGUAUGUCAUACUUCCAAGAAAAGCUUGCACUGUCAUAGAUAAAAAACGCCUGUACCAUAACCGACACAGGUGGGUAGGUAGAGUAUACUAAGGGGCGCGAGAUAACUCUCUCUAAGGAACUCGGCAAAAUAACUCCGUAACUUCGGGAGAAGGAGUGCCUUAUUCGUAAGGUUGCAAUAACAAGAUCCAAGCAACUGUUUAUCAAAAACACAGGUCUCCGCUAAGUCGUAAGACGAUGUAUGGGGGCUGACGCCUGCCCAGUGCCAGAAGGUUAAAGAAGUUGGUUAGCAAUUGCGAAGCUGAUAACUGAAGCCCUGGUGAACGGCGGCCGUAACGAUAACGGUCCUAAGGUAGCGAAAUUCCUUGUCGGGUAAGUUCCGACCCGCACGAAAGGCGUAAUGAUUUGGAUACUGUCUCGGAGAGGGGCUCGGUGAAAUAGACUUGUCUGUGAAGAUGCGGACUACCUGCACCAGGACAGAAAGACCCUAUGAAGCUUUACUGUAACUUGAAAUUGAAAUUGGACUUUAUUCGCGCAGUAUAGGUGGGAGGCGUUGAUUAUAAUCUUGUGGGAUUAUUGGAGCCAUCAGUGAGAUACCACUCUUGUAAUGUUAGAUUUCUAACUUUGAAUCAUUAUCUGGUCAAAGAACAGUUCCAGGCGGGCAGUUUGACUGGGGCGGUCGCCUCCUAAACGGUAACGGAGGCGUACAAAGGUUUCCUCUGAACGGUUAGAAAUCGUAUCUAGAGUGUAAAGGCAUAAGGAAGCUUGACUGUGAGACCUACAAGUCGAGCAGGGACGAAAGUCGGUCUUAGUGAUCUGACGGUACUGAGUGGAAAGGCCGUCACUCAACGGAUAAAAGUUACUCUAAGGAUAACAGGCUGAUCUCCCCCAAGAGUUCACAUCGACGGGGAGGUUUGGCACCUCGAUGUCGGCUCAUCGCAUCCUGGGGCGGUAGUACGUCCCAAGGGUUGGGCUGUUCGCCCAUGAAAGCGGUACGCGAGCUGGGUUCAGAACGUCGUGAGACAGUUCGGUCCAUAUCCGGUGUAGGCGUUAGAAUAUUGAGAGGAGCCUUCUUUAGUACGAGAGGACCGAGAAGGACAUACCUCUGGUGUACCAGUUAUCGUGCCAACGGUAAACGCUGGGUAGCUAUGUAUGGAGUGGAUAACCGCUGAAAGCAUCUAAGUGGGAAGCCCACCUCAAGAUAAG
Molecule: ribosomal RNA, 1235 nt
Filed under: metagenome
Description: bacterial LSU rRNA
Rfam family: Bacterial large subunit ribosomal RNA
Source: RNAcentral